Molecule: long non-coding RNA, 96 nt
Organism: Sebastes umbrosus (honeycomb rockfish)
Lineage: Eukaryota; Metazoa; Chordata; Actinopteri; Perciformes; Sebastidae
Exons: 3
Source: RefSeq, a predicted model, not a curated record
GUGUGUGAUGUGUGUGUGUGUGUGUGUGUGUGUGUGUGUGUGUGUGUGUGUGUAAAAAGCUGCCUGCAACAGGCAGCACGGUGUCGCUCCUGGAGA